UACGGAGGGUGCAAGCGUUGCUCGGAAUUAUUGGGCGUAAAGGGCAGGUAGGUGGUCUCAUUUGUCUGGGGUGAAAUCCUUGAGCUUAACUCAAGAAGUGCCUCGGAAACGGUGAGACUAGAGUUUUGGAGAGGGUCGUGGUAUUCCCGGUGUAGCGGUGAAAUGCGUAGAGAUCGGGAGGAACACCAGAGGCGAAAGCGGCGACCUGGACAAUGACUGACACUCAACUGCGAAAGCGUGGGGAGCAAACAGG
Molecule: ribosomal RNA, 253 nt
Filed under: uncultured bacterium
Lineage: Bacteria
Description: partial 16S ribosomal RNA
Rfam family: Bacterial small subunit ribosomal RNA
Source: RNAcentral